RNAcentral lists this long non-coding RNA (3519 nucleotides) under Podarcis lilfordi (Lilford's wall lizard). The record is from RNAcentral. Lineage: Eukaryota; Metazoa; Chordata; Lepidosauria; Squamata; Lacertidae.
GGCUUCUCUGCGCUCCCUAAACAACCCAACCCAAGAAGUGUUACUGGAGUUUGGAGCAGGGGAGUAGUUUAGACCAGCUAAACAGACGACAGAAAUAAGGAGAGCUCUUUACCAGCGGUUUGCAGGGAUCUGGAGAGGUGACGAGAAGGCUGGAGAAGACAGAGUGGAGUGGAGCUGAGGGUGGAAAGGGUGGUGAGUCAGCAGACUGAAUGGUGUGGGCGGCGGCCAUUACUGAAAGACUAUACAGGGAAAGACACCAAAAGCCGCUUUAGCAGCAGAGAAAGAAAGAUUCUUAUCUGGUGAAAACAAGCCAGAAAUCUUUGUUUUAUGAUGUCCAAUGCCGCAAGUGGUUCGAAACAUAGUGAAUCGUGAUCCCGGAUAUACCCACUGUUUUGUGAAAUUCUUCUUCAGCACAGCAGAAGGAUACAGAAAUGCUUCAUAAACCCAUCUAUAUUGUGAAUGGAAUUGUAUAACACAAUGCUAUGGAGGAGUGGUCAUGAAGUUAUGUAACCACUGCUCUUUGGGAUGGAGACAGAAAAUCCCGAGUGGUUUCAGUAAGGUGUGGUUUUUUUUUUUUUGUUUAACUUGAGUGAUUUGCUUCAUGCUUAAGUUAAUGGCUUCACUGGCCGUCUUAAACAUGUCUGAGAUGUGGUUCUGUGCUCCGUCAACCUGAGCACCCAGCAGCAUGAUGGUACGUUUCCGUUCAGAAAUCAGAUCUUGGCAAAGCUUGUCAAACCGUGCUACCAUCUCUUUGUCCAAAGAAUUUCAACAAUCGCUUCAUCUACAUUUGGUUGCUUUGCUGCUUUUGUUGCCACUGUGAGGCCCUCAACAUCCUUCGAUAGCCUGGACUUUGUGGUAGUAUUUUUCGAUUCAAAGUACAAUUGAUAGUUAUUUUCUUGAUGGCUUUGAGUUCUUUGCUGUAUGCUCAAUCCAAUACUGAUAAAGUAUUGGAUCAGAGGUGUUUUUAAGAUUUUUAUUGUGGUGGUGAACAGAGCCUCCAUCUUUAGUCGAUGACCCUCCCAAGGAAUUUGUGAAUAAAUGAGAUGAUGAUCAAUGUGUAUUUUCAUAGAAAUACUUCACUGUGAGGUAGUUUAUUUUUAAUCAAUAAAAUAUUUCAGACCUUUAAAGUUGAGAGUCCUGAUUAAUUACCCUACCCUUUUUUUUUUUUUUUUUUGCUAUUGACAGGCAUUACUUGAGAUACAUAUGUCGUGCUUCCUGACUUACUUUUGGAUAUUGAGGCAGUUUGGCAAAAGAAGUUAAUGAACUCAAAAUAUAUGGUAGUUCAGAUGUUAACAUGGAUAAGAGCUGUUUUGGCUGGCACAAAAUGCAAUAGCUUGUUUUUGUUAAAAAGAUUUAGGAAACCGCUUGUGUAGGAAGACCUAGCAGAAACAACAAUCUGCUGUCACUCUGUGGACACGUGGCAUUGCAGAUUUUUUUAAAAAUUAAAAACCCCAUACAUACGUAAUUUUAUUUGUAUGCCACCUUUACACAGUUCAGUCCAUGCACAAGGCAGCUUACAACAUUAAACAAUACAUAACCACAAUAUAACAAAAGUAGCCAUCAACAAUAAACAAAAUGCUAAAAAAGAAAGCCAUAACCAACCAAAUUGAGCAAUUUCCACAUAAAACACGACGAGAUCCAAAAUAGAUUCAAAAAACUUAACAGCAACAACCCCACCCAAAAGUCCCUAAGCAACACCCCAGCCCUCAAAGAAUCCCGCUUCUUCCAUUUUUAGGCCAUUUAUCCCUGCCCUGCAGUUUUCCUCUUUCUACAAUGGUUCCACCCAGCUGUCACCGUUUGCACGUGCACAGUCCUCCCACAAUUUCAAAAAGUGGAGAAGGGUGGAAACACACACACACACACACACCCUUUCUUUUCUCCUGCUUACACAUGCCUGCUGCCCAGCUCUUGCACCUUUCCUUCCUCUGAGGGAGGGCUGUGUCAGAAGGUCACGGGGCACCUUCUGUCCUUAGGUUGGGACCCAGGUAGUUGUCACGUGGGAAGUGGUCUAUUUGGGCAAAUGGAGCACUGCCUCACCAACUUCCAUCCUCCAUGUUGCCCUCCUCCUUGCAAGCAGCUCAGGAGAUGGCACUGUCUCGCCCUUGGGCAACUCAAUAGGGAGGAGAAGGAGGAUGGAGUUGAAACAUUAGUUGGCUCUGUCAUUGACUAUUGCUGCGCCUACGGACGGUUUCCCUACCUUCUGUCUUACCAGUUCCAGUUGGCAGCAGUCACACCUGGGUGUGGAUGAUCUAUAAACAAAUACCCCGGCUUUUUUAAGGCUUAAAAGCAAUCAUGGGCCUGACAGUGGGAGGAGAGGAUGAAUAAUUUCCUCCUUCCCAUGUAUAAAUCGUCCCUUGAAACUCUUAUUAACAUGGAGUGGAGGGAGAAGUCAGCUACAGUAGAGAUACCUGUCUCUUCCCUGCACUGUGGCAUUAGGGCCAAGACUGUGAGAGUCUUCUUGAGGGUGGGCUCUUUGAAGCUCUCCAGUAGAGUCGUCUAGAAGAACAUCAGAGUUUUCUUGCUUUUCAGUAGUCAGCCUUUUCCCAGAGAUCCCAGUUAAGAUAACACCUUUCCCACUCAGUUCAGUUUAGAGCAUAAAGUGUUCAUUGUCUCGUGGCACAAGAGAAGCAUAAACACACUAGCUACAUAAACUACAUAGCUACAUGAACUUUUAAGAGGUGCUGGUACGUCAUGAACUAAUAUACUAUAAUACAGUUCUCCUAGUCUUCGACACAAAAUAGAAAUAUAGAGAGAUCCACAGACAGAGGAACAUCAUGCAUGUCCCUGCCCCAGUUUUUAUUUCUAUUUUUUAGAAGAAAGGUAGAAUAUAAACAUAUUGAUUAAGUAAUGGUAUAAGUUGAGUGCUUGGUCAGAAGGAGUUUGUGUGCAAAAGCUGUGCUACACAUUUUCAAUGUAAUUCAAUACUGAGAAGAGGGAUAGGAGAGAAAUUGAGUUUGGUUUGCGGUUAAUGUGACCCCCCCACCACCUGUUUUUGCACAUUCCUAACCCCAUGUGCAAACCAGAACAUAUCAUUUGAAAUUCUAACUUGAGGUGCUGUUCUCCAGCCCAAAAGUGGGGUGGGUGGGUGAAAAUUCAUUAUAUUAGGAAACGUUGUCAUUAACAAUGCAUUAUAUAUGGGAGAAUUGCUUGCAAACUAGUAGAGAAACCCAUGAAAAUGCAUCUAUGGGAAACUUCCACAAGAGGGUGCCCGUGCAUUUUGCAAGAAAGCUGCAGAACCAACAUAUUCUAACCUGGUAGCAACUCUUCUCUUAAUGCUGCUAAAACCACUCUUGUCAUUCUACUGGGGUAUAAACUGUACUAUGGACAGUGUUUUUGGAAAACACUGUCAUUUAUAGAUCUCCCCCCCCCCCCCCGUUGAGAUGCCAUUUCACGUAAACAUGGCAGCUGUGAAGAUUAAUAAUAUUUUCUUUGCAAUAAUGUUUAUAUCCUGCCUGUGCACAAGUGCAGAUAUGCUUGCUGGUUUAACCCAAAUGCCCCUGUUGUCAGGCCAUCCCCUCG